AGAGGACUUCCAGAUUCAUGUUCUCGAUCAUGGAGUUCGACUACCCAUGCUCAGAAUUUGCUGAAUUCUUUGGCUGAUAUUCAAAGAAUGCAGAUUCACACUGCAUUGGUUCCAACCCGCACAUAGUAUUGGUACGUGUACUUAAACUUUGCCAACAAAUUUUGAUAGUGAUACCUUUCCCACCUUACGGAACAUCAAAAAAUUUGUUCAUUAUUAAUGUGCUCCAACUCAAUUAUUAUUAUUGGAGAUGUGUCUUUAUGUAUAUUCUUUAAUUUGAGCAUAUGCUUUGUAUAUUGAAAUCUGAACUUGAGAAAUCAGUUCAUCGGUCAAGAGGACUUUGAGUUUCAAUUUUUAUGGAUGCUGAAAAACCGAACUUGGCUUAUUUUUGUUUUUGAGAAUUUUUGUUCCAUAUUAACUACGCACCGAUUCUUAUAGGUAAAUAACUAGGGAAGGAUGCAAAAAAUGAUUUAGAAACAAAUAGAAUUUCAUCUGUUGCAGUUAAGAGCUCGUGGCUUGGUACCUCAGGUCCAUAGUUCGGGGGCUGUAUAGACUGUUUUGGGUCUCAUGGUUUUGCCACUUAAAAGACAUCUCACAUGGGAAGGAUAUAGUUCCUUCCUAUAUAAGUUAGAUUUUUCUUUGACUUCAACUAAUGUAGAACUAAUGAUGUUUUUUUUUUACACCAUAGCAUCAUCAAUAUAUGAUCACAAAACCUGAGGUUGCAUCUGGAAACAAAGUUGUUCAUAUAACGAGCACAACUUUCUUUCUUAUUUAGUUGUUUACUUGAGGGGCACUGAAGUAAAUAAACUUUCUUUUGAUCCUUUUAAAAUUUGUUAUUAAUUGCAUUUGACGCUGAACUGUUUGAGAUACAUGUAAUGGCUCAAGCUCUCAUGUCCAUAUGUGAUGACUUAGGCUGACUUGGUUAAAAAUUUUUGAUUCUGACACUGCCGCACGACUACAAUGUGCAACUGGCUUGAUAAAGUCACUUAAAGCUGUUUGUUUUUCUGUGAUUGUCACCCCAUAAUCCUGGUCUUUCUUCUAUUACCUUGCCCUUAAGUAACUUCCAAUUUUAGAAGAUAUCAGGUAUACAGUUUGAUUGGAGGCAAUGCAUAAAUUGUUUUUGGGAGUGUUCUAAUUUUCAUUUGAUUGUCAAAGCUAGUAAACCCCCCGAGUGGUCAGAAAUAAACGAAGACUUGGGAGCCAGUACUGAUUCAUGAUGGCCUUGCUUUUCCCAAAACAUUAGAAUUUUAAAGUUGUGGAUUCGGAAAACUAUCCUGUGUAGAGUAUAUCUAUUGAAUUGUAACCUCCUUUCCCAUGCCAAAAAAUAGAACCUUUUAGUAGACAGACUGCAGAUUUGAAAUACAGUCUCAUAAUCAUCAGUGGGAGCUUUCACUAGUUAAAGAGCUCUUUUUUGAUGCAAAAGAGUUAAAGAUAGCUCAAAAGAUGAUUUUUGUAUCUUUUUCCACUUAACUGUGAAAGAUAAAGUGGUUCGACGUGGAAUGACAUGGAUGAAACAAAGGAAUGACUCCAGUUUGAUGCAAAAAUGUGGAAGACUUCAUGGCUCAAGAUUCAUUGUGGUAAUGAUCAGACAUUCAACUUUCUUGGUCUUCAGGUUCUCCAUGGAUAUCCUUUAUCACCUUGCAGAUCUUAGGAAAAAUAUGAUUUAGAAACAGAACGCAAGAAAAGCAAGAAAGGAGCCAUGAGUAGUCUUCCCAAGUUUCAAAUGUAGAAUUAAAGAGAAUAAUAAAAAUGCUUAUCUAAUUGUUAUAUUUUGAUCCUUUGUUGCUUUCUUUGACAGUUAUGAGCAUGCAAACACCUUGAAGGAGAAUGAGGCGAGAAAUUUUGGUGAGCUUUUGCGAUGAUGCAAUCAAACUGUGAAAUAUUAGACUAAAAAAUUUAUUUAUUGAUUUUGGAUUAUAUAUUCAAUG
Elaeis guineensis (African oil palm) is the source of this 1925-nucleotide non-coding RNA. The record is from RefSeq and is a predicted model, not a curated record. Lineage: Eukaryota; Viridiplantae; Streptophyta; Magnoliopsida; Arecales; Arecaceae.